AAGGGAGACCUAAUUCAGGUAUGGGACGAAAAAAAAGUAGUCGCUACCAAGAAUCAAUCCCAAAAGGUCGGAGCGAGGCGAAAUUGGCUUUCAAACUAGGUUCUGGGUUCACACAAGACCUGAAUCAGGAACAAGGGCUAUUAGCUCAGGUGGUUAGAGCGCACCCCUGAUAAGGGUGAGGUCCCUGGUUCGAGUCCAGGAUGGCCCACCUGCACAGGUGGUAAAAACAAGAGAAGCUCCGAAUCAGCACCUUAUCUUACUUAUAUAGUAAGAGAGAAUGCUGGCUCUGAGUUCAGAGUCCAGAGGAACCUUGAAAACUGCAUAGAGCUAGGUGAAAAAGCCAAAAAAGAAGACCGCAUGCAA
RNAcentral lists this transfer RNA (363 nucleotides) under uncultured Microcystis sp. RNAcentral describes it as "partial miscellaneous RNA". The stretch from base 135 to 208 matches the Rfam family "tRNA". The record is from RNAcentral. Lineage: Bacteria; Bacillati; Cyanobacteriota; Cyanophyceae; Chroococcales; Microcystaceae.